GACGAACGCUGGCGGCGUGCUUAACACAUGCAAGUCGAACGGAAAGGCCCUGCUUUUGUGGGGUGCUCGAGUGGCGAACGGGUGAGUAACACGUGAGUAACCUGCCCUUGACUUUGGGAUAACUUCAGGAAACUGGGGCUAAUACCGGAUAGGAGCUCCUGCUGCACGGGGGGGGUUGGAAAGUUUCGGCGGUUGGGGAUGGACUAGCGGCUUAUCAGCUUGUUGGUGGGGUAGUGGCUUACCAAGGCUUUGACGGGUAGCCGGCCUGAGAGGGUGACCGGCCACAUUGGGACUGCGAUACGGCCCAGACUCCUACGGGAGGCAGCAGUGGGGAAUAUUGCACAAUGGGCGGAAGCCUGAUGCAGCAACGCCGCGUGCGGGAUGACGGCCUUCGGGUUGUAAACCGCUUUCGCCUGUGACGAAGCGUGAGUGACGGUAAUGGGUAAAGAAGCACCGGCUAACUACGUG
RNAcentral lists this ribosomal RNA (468 nucleotides) under uncultured bacterium. RNAcentral describes it as "partial 16S ribosomal RNA". It matches the Rfam family "Bacterial small subunit ribosomal RNA", at positions 28 to 507 of the family's 1533-position model. The record is from RNAcentral.